CAAGAGCUCAGAUUUGAAAUCGUGCUUUGCGGCACGAGUUGUAGAUUGCAGGUUGGAGUCUGUGUGGAAGGCGGUGUCCAAGUCCCUUGGAACAGGGCGCCCAGGAGGGUGAGAGCCCCGUGGGAUGCCGGCGGAAGCAGUGAGGCCCUUCUGACGAGUCGAGUUGUUUGGGAAUGCAGCUCCAAGCGGGUGGUAAAUUCCAUCUAAGGCUAAAUACUGGCGAGAGACCGAUAGCGAACAAGUACUGUGAAGGAAAGAUGAAAAGCACUUUGAAAAGAGAGUGAAACAGCACGUGAAAUUGUUGAAAGGGAAGGGUAUUGCGCCCGACAUGGGGAUUGCGCACCGCUGCCUCUCGUGGGCGGCGCUCUGGGCUUUCCCUGGGCCAGCAUCGGUUCUUGCUGCAGGAGAAGGGGUUCUGGAACGUGGCUCUUCGGAGUGUUAUAGCCAGGGCCAGAUGCUGCGUGCGGGGACCGAGGACUGCGGCCGUGUAGGUCACGGAUGCUGGCAGAACGGCGCAACACCGCCCGUCUUGA
This 533-nucleotide ribosomal RNA is filed under the name Pichia kudriavzevii. Its description in RNAcentral is "LSU rRNA". It matches the Rfam family "Eukaryotic large subunit ribosomal RNA", at positions 102 to 657 of the family's 3401-position model. Lineage: Eukaryota; Fungi; Ascomycota; Pichiomycetes; Pichiales; Pichiaceae. The record is from RNAcentral.